Molecule: ribosomal RNA, 807 nt
Filed under: uncultured Spirochaetota bacterium
Lineage: Bacteria; Pseudomonadati; Spirochaetota
Description: bacterial SSU rRNA
Rfam family: Bacterial small subunit ribosomal RNA
Source: RNAcentral
AGGAGAGUUUGAUCCUGGCUCAGAACGAACGCUGGCGGCGCGUCUUAAGCAUGCAAGUCGAGCGGGAGUAUCCAGCUUGCUGGAUAUGAGAGCGGCGGACUGGUGAGUAACGCGUGGGUGACGCACCCUUGGGUCGGGGAUAGCCUUAAGAAAUUAAGGGUAAUACCGGAUGAGGUCCCUUACGUUGGAGGUAAGGGAGGAAAGGAGCCACGGCUCCGCCCGAGGAACGGCCCGCGACCCAUCAGCUUGUUGGCGGGGCAAGGGCCCACCAAGGCUAUGACGGGUAUCCGGCCUCAGAGGGCGACCGGACACAUUGGGACUGAGAUACGGCCCAGACUCCUACGGGAGGCAGCAGCUAAGAAUAUUCCGCAAUGGGCGAAAGCCUGACGGAGCGACGCCGCGUGGACGAUGAAGGCCGGAAGGUUGUAAAGUCCUUUUCUGACGGAGGAAGAAGUGCCGGAGGGAAUGCCGGCAUGGUGACUGUAGGUCAGGAAUAAGCACCGGCUAAUUACGUGCCAGCAGCCGCGGUAACACGUAAGGUGCGAGCGUUGUUCGGAAUCAUUGGGCGUAAAGGGCAUGUAGGCGGUCACGCAAGUCUGGAGUGAAAUGCCAGGGCUCAACCCUGGAACUGCUUUGGAAACUGCGGGACUGGAGUCACCGAGGCGGAGCCGGAAUUCCAGGUGUAGGGGUGAAAUCUGUAGAUAUCUGGAAGAACACCAAUGGCGAAGGCAGGCUUCGAGCGGAUGACUGACGCUGAGGUGCGAAGGUGCGGGGAGCAAACAGGAUUAGAUACCCUGGUAGUCCCCU